UACGUAGGGGGCGAGCGUUGUCCGGAAUCAUUGGGCGUAAAGCGCGUGUAGGCGGCUCAGUCAGUCUGGUGUGAAACCUUGGGGCUCAACCCCAAGCCUGCACUGGAUACUGCUGAGCUUGAGUCCGGGAGGGGAGAGCGGAAUUCCUAGUGUAGCGGUGAAAUGCGCAGAUAUUAGGAAGAACACCGGUGGCGAAGGCGGCUCUCUGGAACGGUACUGACGCUGAGACGCGAAAGCGUGGGGAGCGAACAGGAUUAGAUACCCGGUAGUCC
Molecule: ribosomal RNA, 272 nt
Filed under: uncultured prokaryote
Description: partial 16S ribosomal RNA
Rfam family: Bacterial small subunit ribosomal RNA
Source: RNAcentral